RNAcentral lists this ribosomal RNA (653 nucleotides) under Phlegmacium georgiolens. RNAcentral's name for it is "eukaryotic LSU rRNA". The stretch from base 281 to 434 matches the Rfam family "5.8S ribosomal RNA". The record is from RNAcentral. Lineage: Eukaryota; Fungi; Basidiomycota; Agaricomycetes; Agaricales; Cortinariaceae.
GUUUCCGUAGGUGAACCUGCGGAAGGAUCAUUAUUGAAAUAAACCUGAUGAGUUGUUGCUGGUUCUCUUGGGAGCAUGUGCACACUUGUCAUCUUUAUAUCUCCACCUGUGCACCUUUUGUAGACUUGGAUAUCUCUCUGAGUGGCUUAGCCACUCAGGUUUUGAGGAUUGACUUUGAUGGUCUCUCCUUACAUUUCCAGGUCUAUGUUUAUUCCAUAUACCCCAAUGUAUGUCAUAGAAUGUAAUCCUAUUGGGCUUUUGUGCCUAUAUAAACUUAUACAACUUUCAGCAACGGAUCUCUUGGCUCUCGCAUCGAUGAAGAACGCAGCGAAAUGCGAUAAGUAAUGUGAAUUGCAGAAUUCAGUGAAUCAUCGAAUCUUUGAACGCACCUUGCGCUCCUUGGUAUUCCGAGGAGCAUGCCUGUUUGAGUGUCAUUAAUAUAUCAACCUCUUCAACUUUUGUUUGUUGAGUGUUGGAUUUGGGGGUUUUUAUUUUGCUGGUCUUUUAACAAGGUCAUCUCCCCUGAAAUAUAUUAGCGGAACAUUUUGUGGAUCGUUCAUUGGUGUGAUAACUAUCUACGCUAUUGACGUGAAGCAGUUCAGCUUCUAACAGUCCAUUUACUUGGACAAAUUUCUAUUAAAGUGACCUCAAAU